Molecule: ribosomal RNA, 402 nt
Filed under: uncultured prokaryote
Description: bacterial SSU rRNA
Rfam family: Bacterial small subunit ribosomal RNA
Source: RNAcentral
UAGGGAAUAUUAGAAAUGGACGAAAGUCUGAUCUAGCAACACCGCGUGUGCGAAGAAGGCCUUCGGGUCGUAAAGCACUUUUUGGAAGGAAUAGGAAGGAAUGUACUUCCAGAAUAAGUCUCGGCUAACUACGUGCCAGCAGCCGCGGUAACACGUAGGAGGCAAACGUUAUCCGGAUUUACUGGGCGUAAAGCGCGUGUAGGUGGUACUGUAAGUAGGGCGUGAAAGCUCCUGGCUCAACUGGGAGAGGCCGUUCUAAACUACAGAACUAGAGGAUGUUAGAGGGAGGUGGAAGUCCAGGUGUAGCGGUGGAAUGCGCAGAUAUCUGGAGGAACACCGGUGGCGAAGGCGGCCUCCUGGACCAUUCCUGACACUCAGACGCGAAAGCUAGGGUAGCAAACG